UGAAGCGGCAAAAGCUCAAAUUUGAAAUCUGGCACUUUCAGUGUCCGAGUUGUAAUUUGAAGAAGGUAACUCUGGAGUUGGCCCUUGUCUAUGUUCCUUGGAACAGGACGUCACAGAGGGUGAGAAUCCCGUGCGAUGGGGUGUCCAAUUCUAUGUAGAGUGCUUUCGAAGAGUCGAGUUGUUUGGGAAUGCAGCUCUAAGUGGGUGGUAAAUUCCAUCUAAAGCUAAAUAUUGGCGAGAGACCGAUAGCGAACAAGUACAGUGAUGGAAAGAUGAAAAGAACUUUGAAAAGAGAGUGAAAAAGUACGUGAAAUUGUUGAAAGGGAAGGGCUUGAGAUCAGACUCGGUAUUUUGCGAUCCUAUCCUUCGUGGAGAGGUUUCAUUUGCAGCUUACCGGGCCAGCAUCGGUUUGGAUGGUAGGAUAAUGACAUUGGAAUGUGGCUCUUCGGAGUGUUAUAGCCCUUGUUGAUACUGCCUAUCUAGACCGAGGACUGCGUCUUUGACUAGGAUGCUGGCAUAAUGAUCUUAAGCCGCCCGUCUUG
RNAcentral lists this ribosomal RNA (542 nucleotides) under Kurtzmaniella natalensis. RNAcentral describes it as "eukaryotic LSU rRNA". It matches the Rfam family "Eukaryotic large subunit ribosomal RNA", at positions 94 to 656 of the family's 3401-position model. Lineage: Eukaryota; Fungi; Ascomycota; Pichiomycetes; Serinales; Debaryomycetaceae. The record is from RNAcentral.